This 33-nucleotide transfer RNA is filed under the name Maclura pomifera (Osage orange). RNAcentral's name for it is "partial tRNA-Phe". The record is from RNAcentral. Lineage: Eukaryota; Viridiplantae; Streptophyta; Magnoliopsida; Rosales; Moraceae.
GUCGGGAAGCUCAGCGGAGAGCAGAGGACUGAA